GACGUAGGGCGCGAGCGUUGUCCGGAUUUAUUGGGCGUAAAGAGCUCGUAGGCGGCUUGUCGCGUCAACUGUGAAAACCCGUGGCUCAACCAUGUGGUCUGCAGUCGAUACGGGCAGGCUAGAAUUCGGUAGGGGAGACGUGGAAUUCCGUGGUGUAGCGGUGAAAUGCGCAGAUAUCAGGAGGAACACCGGUGGCGAAGGCGGGUCUCUGGGCCGAUAUUGACGCUGAGGAGCGAAAGCGUGGGGAGCGAACAGG
This 256-nucleotide ribosomal RNA is filed under the name uncultured bacterium. Its description in RNAcentral is "partial 16S ribosomal RNA". It matches the Rfam family "Bacterial small subunit ribosomal RNA", at positions 524 to 776 of the family's 1533-position model. The record is from RNAcentral.